This 403-nucleotide ribosomal RNA is filed under the name Fusobacteriota bacterium. RNAcentral's name for it is "Fusobacteria bacterium partial 16S ribosomal RNA". It matches the Rfam family "Bacterial small subunit ribosomal RNA", at positions 355 to 776 of the family's 1533-position model. Lineage: Bacteria; Fusobacteriati; Fusobacteriota. The record is from RNAcentral.
UGGGGAAUAUUGCACAAUGGAGGGAACUCUGAUGCAGCGACGCCGCGUGAACGAAGAAGGCUUUCGAGUUGUAAAGUUCUUUUAUAUGGGAAGAUAAUGACGGUACCAUAAGAAAAAGCCCCGGCUAACUACGUGCCAGCAGUCGCGGUAUUACGUAGGGGGCUAGCGUUGUCCGGAAUCACUGGGCGUAAUGGGUUCGCAGGCGGAAAUGCAAGUCAGGUGUAAAAGGCAGUAGCUUAACUACUGUAAGCAUUUGAAACUGCAUAUCUUGAGAAGAGUAGAGGUAAGUGGAAUUUUUAGUGUAGCGGUGAAAUGCGUAGAUAUUAAAAAGAAUACCGGUGGCGAAGGCGACUUACUGGGCUCAUUCUGACGCUGAGGAACGAAAGCGUGGGUAGCAAACAGG